CCAGAUAACCUGGAGUGUCUCAGGCCUCCUGGAUGCCAGAACCACGGAGGGCGGGAGGGACUUCUGUGCUAAAUUGCGGUCAUUGUUUCUUCAGAAUUUCACUAGGUAGCCUUGGCUAACCUGGAAUUAGCCAUGAAGACCUGGAACUCACAGAAAUCUGUCCUACAGCCGUCCCUGUGCCGAUUGCUGUCCUACGGCUGUCUACGGCUGUCCCUGUGCCGAUUGCUGUCCUACGGCUGUCCCUGUGUUGGGCAUUCUGUUUUCCACUCUUCGUGCUGCCUCUGUUGCUGUCAUUCAUCUGCAGUAGGAGACAUUUCUUGAUCUUCAUCAGCGGUGACCCCGACUCUGUUUCUGCCUCUGGCCAGCCAGGAUUCAGGACUCACUAAGGCUUUGAGCUUCCUCCCCCAACUUGUGAAUGAUCACAGCCUUUGCUUACCUUCUCCUCUGCUCAGGCGUUUUUGUCUGAUUUUGGAGUGGAAGACCAGAGAGAACUCCUCUGCCUCUUUUAAGACGGGAAAUCCUCAACUCAAGCGGGGCAGGGAGUUACAGCUCAUUUGAGUACUCCAAGUCAGAUAAAGUGGCCCUAACUCUCAUGUGGAAGUUUAGUGAGUUGUGAGCAUCAAGGGCAAGUUAUAUGGAAGGAAGGAAGGCAUGCAGAACCUCCUACCUCUGACCACAGACAAAACUGCAUUAAUAAGCAUGGCAUUCCAGCACAGAGAUGAAUCCUCCUUGGAAGGUACAGAUGAGAUGGAUGCUCUGGGCACCGCUAACCCAUGGAUCCAGAACAAGUCAUGUCUUUUACCAGAAGCAAAGCUGUGUUUUAUGUGUAAAGUCAUGAAGUAUGAAGAAAGCAAAAUCGCCAUAUUUUUUGUAAAAGCCAGUUAAUCAAGUCUUCCAUGUGUCCAUAUUUGAAUGAGAUUUAUAAUCUCAUUGGACAGAACAUAAACUUUCCUAAUAUCUCUACAUAAUAGUCUAUCUUUCCCAUAGACUACCCUCCAAAUCCCUGAAUUUUAAAUUUUAAGGUUUUGUCUUAAAAUAUAAAUAGUUCUGCCAGUACUGGGCUUUGAACCCUGGGCUUUGUCCAUGUAAGGUAGUUACUUCAGUGCUGACCUAUGACUCCAGCCCUGUCUUAAUUUGUUUUUACAAUUUUUUAUAAAGAAAGAAGCUUUAAACAAAUGGACCAAGAAAGUGUGGAACCGAUAUAAAGAAGGAAAUGAUACCACCCCCAACUUCAUCUUUUAGAAAAAUCCAUCUGUAUGUUGGCAGUUAGCCCCAGGAAGGAUGCUGGCAAUGGAAGCCACAGUUGUUACAGCCAUGCCCUAGGAGAAAGAAGCAGCAGGGCAUACAGGGUGCCUGCAGCUGCGGUGCUACCCUGCAGCCUCGAUGCUUCCCCUGCAGCCGCGGUGCUCCCCCUGUAGCCGUGGUGCUUCCCUUGAGGCCUCAAUGCUCCCCCUGCAGCCUCAGUGCUCCCCUUGUAGCCUCGGUACUCCUCCUGCAGCUGCAGUGCUACCCUGCAGCUCUCCGUGCAGCAGGAAGAAAUAAGUGGCAGAGACUCAGAGAAUGGUGGUGGUGUUUGUUGUCCUAUGGUUUCUCCUAAAGGGAGGGGAGAUGUGAAGUUUAACUGACUAUCCAGGGACAAUGAACAAAUGAUGGACACUCUUAGACUUGUGGCCAACAUGACAGCUCACUGAGAACUGGAAAGUGACUGCAGUUAGCAAGGUUACAAGGUUUCUCUCUCUCUCUCUCUCUUUUUUUUUUCUCGAGACAGGGUUUCUCUGUGGUUUUGGAGCUUGUCCUGGAACUAGCUCUUGUAGACCAGGCUGGUUUCGAACUCACAGAGAUCCGCCUGCCUCUGCCUCCCAAGUGCUGGGAUUAAAGGCGUGUGCCACCACCGCCCGGCGGUUACAAGGUUUCUUAAGACAUUCUCAGCGUUGUGGGUGCAGAGCAGGCAGAGUUCAUAAGAGUUUGAGUUUUAUCAAAUAAAUACAACCAAAUAGAGUUGAGAGGUGGGCCAGGGAGUUGUUAGAACAACCUACUACUAGCUUAAGAUAAGCAAAAGUAUCUUAAAAUAACCACCAAAUAAGAUACUAUAGUCAGUUUUGACACAGUCUUUUGCCAGGCAGGGACUUGGGUGAGCAGAGCACCAAGGAUACGAACUGAAAGCGUUCGCUGUGCUUUGUUCUUUUGUCAUAUGGACCGAAGCCCUCAGAAAAAGCCACAUGUGUCAAAAAUCUCAUCAUGACAAAGAUGGGCUGUAUGGUUCAAUGGAUAGCUGGACUUCCGGGUGCUUCAGAAAUCCAAAGGCUCCUUCCGGGAUAAUUGACUGUUAUUAUGUAGAGGAGGAUGUUGCAGAUCAGUAGACAGAUUAUCUUGGACUACCUUUGGCCCACCUCUGUAUCUGGCCUAACACCCUUCUCAACUAUCAGAGAAAAACCUUUGGUAUGUAUUAGCAAGACCAGUCACGAGAUGCUGUAAGAUCUAAAACAUGCGACAAAGGGUCCUCCCACUGUAAACUAACACACAGCAAUGUACAGAAGCAGCCUAAAGACCGUUCUGUCUGGUGACUGUAGGUGUUCACGCCAUCACUUUCAUGUUGGUCGACUCUUAGUUGGGGCAGUUUGAACACUUGUCUCUGGCUCGGGAUAAAUGAUCCCUUAUGCUCUUUGAGGUAUGACUUUGUGUUCUGUAAGGAGUUUAGCAUCCAUUGGUUUGGUCUACAGUGCACUCUGAGCUGACUGCUGGAGAGCCUCUUACUGUUUUCACAACAUUUGGUCAGAACUCUUCAUUUACUAGCGCUCAGCCAGGAUUUCUUUUUUGUUGUCUUUCUCGAUGCUCUUCUAAUAUCUAAUUCUGGGUUGCUGAAGCUCGUCAGUUAAGAGCACUUGCUGAAGACUUGACUUCAGUUCUCAGCGUACACACAGCCCUUAAACCACCUGUAACUCCAGCUCCAAGGCAUCUGUCACCCUCCUCUGGUCUCCAUGGUACCUGUAACUCCAGCUCCAGGGCAUCUGUCUCUCUCCUCUGGUCUCCAUGGUACCUGUAACUCCAGCUCCAGGGCAUGUGUCUCUCUCUGGUCUCCAUGGUACCAGGCAUGCAAAUGGUGCAAACAACACGCAUGGGCAAAACCCUUACACACAGAAUCAUCUUUAAUUCUGGGGUGCUUUUCUGUGCCUGUUCCCUCUUUUUGGCUUAGAAGUUUUAUGAGUCCAUGAUCAUAAAGAUGUCAAAGAUAAGAGCCAGUCAUUUUCCAGCUCAACAAGGAAAAGAUGACAGGAAUUUCUGUAGAAUGUGCAAUGGCCUCACAGGGAAACUCAAGACAACAUACAGCAUGCCCUGCUCCAGGGUGGUAAGGAACCUUAUUGGGAAGUUUCUUGAAUCCACCCAUGCAUGUUCUUGAGCCCACACAUGUUCCUGAAACUGUGCAGGAUAAAUGCAGAGCUUGGAGUACUGAGCUACUCCUAGAAGCAGCACAGAAAUCUCAAGCAAACCACAGAUCUCUCCAACUACCACGGAAGGCUUCAAUUUUUAGGGAAUAAAAGAUGCUAAAAUGGAAAACAAAAAGAUAAGAAAGAAGGAAAUAUUUGGGCCAAAAAGAAAAGAAAAGACAUUUGGUACUCCAUCUGGUUUUACGUGUGGUGACUAUGUUAAUUUAACUGGCAGGCACUAGAAAUGGCAAGCUCUUGGAUUCCCCAAACUGGCUCUUUUUGUUAAAUGCUAAACAAGAAGCUCCAGGAAACAACCAAAGACCGUAAGACAGGUGGCCUGCUUUAACUGUACUUUUAGGUAGUCUUGAAGAAAUGAUGAAAUUUCUAUUUUUUUAAGAAAUAUUUUAGAUACUAUUGAUAUUUUAAAAAAUGUUAGAGAUCAGGAAAUACAUUUUGAGGGGCCAUGUCAGAACUGAAGUUAAGGCCUGGCAAACCUUUCUCACCCCCACGCUCACACAUCUGUCUUGAGUUUUGCUUCUCUUCCUUCAACACCCUCCCCUAUUCUCUCCUUCAGUACCUGGGCAGAACAACUGUCUGCAUCAAAUGUUAGGGGCUCUCUUUUGGGAUGAAGCUUAGAGGAAAGGUGAUCUUUAUACUAUUUAUACCUCUAGAUGUGCAGAGGAUCCCUUGGAUCUUUCUUGAAGCGGCUCUCAGUAUUUUUUCCUAGCCCAUCUCUCUUCCUCUCUGCCACUCACUGACCUAAGAAUCACUCCCUCAAUACCAGGGAACCCACAGCUACCACACCCUCCUAAGACCCAGAGAAGGCAGCAGAAACCAAGGAAUGGAACGACACUCAUUCAACAAAAACAAGACCAGAUAUCAACAUCUACAGGCAACUCACCCACCCUAACCCCAGAUGCCUAGACACAAACACAAAUGGCCAAGCCAAGAUGCCUCCAGCAGAACCCAGUAACCCUACUCCAGCAGGGCAUGAGAAAGGCAGUACAGCUGAAGUACAAGACAAGGACUUCAAAGUAGCAAUCUGAACAUUAUUAAGGACCCCAAAGAGGAUAUGAGUGAAUCCCUCAGUGACGUCUAUGGAGACACAAAGAGUAGAAGGAAACAAAUAAAACCGUUCAAGACCUGAAAGUGCAAAUAGAAGCAUAAAGAAAACUCAAACUGAAAAAUUGAAAAGGGAAAACUUAGGAAGUCAAACAAAACCCUGAGAGGUGAGCCUUGCCAACAGAGUACAAGACAUGGCAAAGAGAUUCUCCAGAUGUUGAAGACAAAGUAGAAGAAAUGGAUACCUCAGCCAAAGAAAAUGUCAAAUCUAAAAAUAUCCAGGCACAAAACAUCCUCAAAAUAUGGAACCUUAAGAAAAGAUUUACUCUAUGAAUAACAGGCAGUCGAAGGCACAGAAAAGAUUUUCAACAAAAUCAUCAGAGGAAACUUCCACAACCUAAAGAAGGAGGUGUCUAUCAAGUGCAUAGGAGACACCACAUAGCACCAGAAGAGAAACCCCCGUGAUAAUUAAAACACUGAACGUACAGAACAAAGCAAGAUUAUUAAGAGGGACACACAAAGCAGACCCAUUAGAACAACAACUGAGUGCACAAUGGAGACUCUGAAAGCCAGAAGGGCCUGGACAAAUGCCCCACAAAAUCUAGGAGAUGGCAGACGCCACUCCAGACAAAACUUUCUAUCUAUAGAUCUACAUAUUUCUAUAGAUACCUAUACCCAGCAAAACUUCCAAUCACAACAGAUAAAGAAAAAUAUUCCACACUAAAACAAAGUUUAAGCAGAAUCAACCUAUCAAUCCAGCUCUACAGAGCACAAGAAGGCAAACUUCAGCCUGACGUUCCAUAUGUUCACAUACAUGAAUGGAAUCAAAAAGACAACGCCUAUGCAUGUCACCGACCAUGAAGAAGUUGCCCUGGUGCCUAACUAGAGCUUUCAUCCCCGCUACCAGAGGAGAAAGGCAAACACCAACCCAGCUACAAACCCAGGGAUCCACAAUGAGGACAUCCCUGAUGACACGCUGGCACAACAGUGAUGCAAAUGUUGUGGGAGCAAACGUCAUUGUCUGACUGGAUUUGAGGCCCAUUCCGUGAGAUGGAACUCAUGCCUGACACGCUUGGGUGACUAAUAACCUGAGACAAGAUAGGCCAAGGUCCUAGGGGAAAACCAGCUACCACUGUACUUCUAAAGGAGCAUAGAUUCUGCUAGACCCACGGACCAGUGCCUCGCUCAGCCAUUCUCAGAGAAGCUUCCUCAGGCAGCAGAUGGAAGCUAACACAGAGACUCACACAUGGACCACGUGCAGAGAGUGAGACUUUGGAACCUUCGGCCCUAAAUGGGGUGUCUCCAUCAACCUCUCCCUUCAGGGCUCAGGGAACCAUGUGGAAGAGGAGGUAGGAAGAUGUAAGAGCCAGAGGGGAUGGAGGACUCCAAGGAGACAGUGUCUUGCAGCACAACGGGCCUGACACACGUAUGAACUCAGAGAUGUGCCAGCAUGGACAGGGUACUCACAGGUUCAGGCCAGACAGGGUUCAAGCACUAACAGGAGGAAGUGGUCGUGGGUCCCACCCCUAGCCGAGAAAUUAGCUGCAACUGACAUCUGCUUGCUUGUGAAGGAAAAAUUAGUUUUCUUCAAUGGAGACUCAUGAUAUAUUAGCCACACUUAAGGGUUGACCAUGCCCAGCAGUAGGAUGACCAACACAAAAUGAACCCAGUGGUAUUUCUGUAGACAUUUUGGUUUGAUAUUGCUUUGUUUGGGCUUUUUUUUUUUUUUUUGUCUUACUGGUCUUUUGCUUGUAUUUUUAUCUGAUUUUGCAUUUUUUGUGGUUUGUGUGUAUGUAUUUCUUGUACUUUGUCUUUUUUUUACCUAUUUAUUUAUAUUCUGGUUUGUCUGCUUUAUUUGCCUGUUUUUCAAUGAGCGAAAGAAGGGUGAAGUUGUGUGGGUGGGGAGCUGGGAAGAGUUGGGGGUAGGCAAACUAUGAUCAGAAUGUAGUGUAUGCGAAAAUUAUUUUAAAUGAAAACAACGAGCAAAGGGUAUAAUAAAAUAACACACACGCACGCACCCUUGCUGUGGAGCAUGCAGCAGGGCCUCUGCCUCAAGCACUGGACUACGGCAGGCAUGUGCUGCGGUUUGGACACACGUGGAAUUUCUACUUAAGACAAUAUCGCAACAGGGCCUAAAUCAGGUUAUGUAUCAAGAGGUUUAAAAUUCAAAGAGAAUAUACAAGGUUUAGAUUUGACUCCGGUUUGAAAAUGACAAAACAUAAAUGGUUCAUAGACUAUGACUUUCCAUAAUUGGGCAAAUAUUCUUUGCUAUCACCUACACAUUUUAAGACACGUGGACACAUUCCUACAGAAGCUGGUACACACAAAGCUGUUACUUUGUUUCAAAUCAUAGCUAAUAAUGCUUUAAAACAAAAGUCAAUGUGGAAUUUAAACAUGGAACCAGUAGAGUCUCUGACAUUGUGAUUCAUAUAGAAACAAGGUGUCACUUGUUAGACUCCAGGUAAUUCUGACAGAAAAUCCUCUUUCCUGUAGUACCAGUACUUGAGAGGUAAGGCAGAGGGGUAGAUGAGACCCUGCCUCCAACAAACAAGCAAACUGGUUCAGAUAAAUAAAUAAAAGUUAAAAACUCAACAGAACCCGUUUUUAUAUUCUUUUAUAUAUUCUUCAUUUUUUUCCAAUCGGAUGAUCCCUUUCAGACUUGCUUAGAUCAGGGCUAUAAUACAUAGUUGACAGUCCUCGGUAGAAUGAUAAAAAUCUAUCUAUUCAUUUUUAGAGAUCAAAAUUAUAAAACUGUUUAUAAAUUAUGUAUUUAAAAUGAACAUAUUUAUUAAAAAUGUAAGUGAAAAUAUAUUUAAUUAUUUUAGGGCAGUCAAAACAAUAUGUGAUUGGUAUCUUGGUGGUUGAAAGUAAUCACUUUACCAGUGCAUUGUAAAUAUUUGU
Long non-coding RNA from Chionomys nivalis (European snow vole), 7388 nucleotides. RefSeq lists it as uncharacterized. The transcript has 5 exons. NCBI's taxonomy places the organism in Eukaryota, Metazoa, Chordata, Mammalia, Rodentia, Cricetidae. The record is from RefSeq and is a predicted model, not a curated record.